GAUCAUGGCUCAGGAUGAACGCUGGCGGCGUGCUUAACACAUGCAAGUCGAACGAAGCGGUUUAGCGGAAGUUUUCGGAUGGAAGUUAAACUGACUGAGUGGCGGACGGGUGAGUAACGCGUGGGUAACCUGCCUCACACAGGGGGACGACAGUUAGAAAUGGCUGCUAAUACCGCAUAAGCGCACAGCUUCGCAUGAAGCAGUGUGAAAAACUCCGGUGGUGUGAGAUGGACCCGCGU
This 239-nucleotide ribosomal RNA is filed under the name uncultured bacterium. Its description in RNAcentral is "partial 16S ribosomal RNA". It matches the Rfam family "Bacterial small subunit ribosomal RNA", at positions 15 to 236 of the family's 1533-position model. The record is from RNAcentral.